UAGAGUUUGAUCAUGGCUCAGAUUGAACGCUGGCUGCAGGCCAAACACAUGCAAGUCGAGCGGUAACAUGUCUAGCUUGCUAUUCGGCGUCGAGCGGCGGACGGGUGAGUAAUGCUUGGGGAUCUGCCUUAGAGUGGAGGAUAACCAUUGGAAACGAUGGCUAAUACUGCAUAGUAUCUGCGGAUUAAAGGGGGCUUAGGCUCUUGCUUUAAGAUGAACCCAAGUGGGAUUAGCUAGUUGGUGAGGUAAUGGCUCACCAAGGCGACGAUCCCUAGCUGGUCUGAGAGGAUGAUCAGCCACACUGGAACUGAGACACGGUCCAGACUCCUACGGGAGGCAGCAGUGGGGAAUAUUGCACAAUGGGCGAAAGCCUGAUGCAGCCAUGCCGCGUGUGUGAAGAAGGCCCUAGGGUUGUAAAGCACUUUCAGUCAGGAGGAAAGGUUAGUAGUUAAUACCUGCUAGCUGUGACGUUACUGACAGGAGAAGCACCGGCUAACUUCGUGCCAGCAGCCGCGGUAAUACGAGGGGUGCAAGCGUUAAUCGGAAUUACUGGGCGUAAAGCGAGCGUAGGCGGCUGAAUAAGCUGAUGUGAAAAACCGGGGCUCAACCUCGGCCGUGCAUUC
RNAcentral lists this ribosomal RNA (623 nucleotides) under uncultured Vibrionaceae bacterium. RNAcentral's name for it is "bacterial SSU rRNA". It matches the Rfam family "Bacterial small subunit ribosomal RNA", at positions 1 to 628 of the family's 1533-position model. Lineage: Bacteria; Pseudomonadati; Pseudomonadota; Gammaproteobacteria; Vibrionales; Vibrionaceae. The record is from RNAcentral.